GAUGAAGAACGUAGCGAAAUGCGAUAAGUAAUGUGAAUUGCAGAAUUCAGUGAAUCAUCGAAUCUUUGAACGCACAUUGCACCUCUCGGUAUUCCGGGAGGUAUGCCUGUUCGAGCGUCAUUUGUACCCUCAAGCUCUGCUUGGUGUUGGGUGUUUGUUCCGCCUCUGUGUGUGAACUCGCCUCAAAACAAUUGGCAGCCGGCGUACUUGUUUCGGAGCGCAGCACAUUUUGCGAUCCAGAUCAACGUACAGCGGCAUCCAAGAAGCCUUAUUUAACGCUCUUGACCUCGGAUCAGGUAGGGAUACCCGCUGAACUUAAGCAUAUCAUAAGCGGAGGA
This 338-nucleotide unclassified non-coding RNA is filed under the name soil metagenome. RNAcentral describes it as "partial contains 5.8S ribosomal RNA, internal transcribed spacer 2, and large subunit ribosomal RNA". The stretch from base 1 to 120 matches the Rfam family "5.8S ribosomal RNA", at positions 35 to 154 of the family's 154-position model. The record is from RNAcentral.